UUCCGGUUGAUCCUGCCGGACCCGACUGCUAUUUGGGUGAGAAUAAGCCAUGCGAGUUGAAUGGGAUACCUAAAGUUCCCAUAGCAAACUGCUCAGUAACACAUGAUCAACUUACCCUAUAGAGAAAAAUAACCUCGGGAAACUGAGGAUAAUGUUUCAUAAUUGAAUUGGCUUGGAAAAGUUUUUCAAUGAAAGGGAUAAAAAAAAUGGUUUUUAUCUGCUAUAGGAUAGGAUCGUGUUCGAUUAUGGUUGUUGGUGAGAUAAUGGCUCACCAAGCCGAUAAUCGAUAGGGGCCGUGAGAGCGGGAGCCCCGAGAUGGGUACUGAGACAACGACCCAGGCCUUACGAGGCGCAGCAGGCGCGGAACCUCCGCAAUACACGAAAGUGUGACGGGGUUACCCAAAGUGUUCAAUAGAACUGUGGUAGGUGAGCAAUGUCCCCUACUAGAAAGGAGAGGGCAAGGCUGGUGCCAGCCGCCGCGGUAAAACCAGCUCUUCAAGUGGUCGGGAUAAUUAUUGGGCUUAAAGUGUCCGUAGCCGGUUUAGUAAGUUCCUGGUAAAAUCGGGUAGCUUAACUAUCUGCAUGCUAGGAAUACUGCUAUACUAGAGGGCGGGAGAGGUCUGAGGUACUACAGGGGUAGGGGUGAAAUCUUAUAAUCCUUGUAGGACCACCAGUGGCGAAGGCGUCAGACUGGAACGCGCCUGACGGUGAGGGACGAAAGCCAGGGGAGCGAACCGGAUUAGAUACCCGGGUAGUCCUGGCCGUAAACGAUGCAUGCUAGGUGAUGGUACGGCCAUGAGCCGUAUCAGUGCCGUAGGGAAACCGUUAAGUGUGCCGCCUGGGAAGUACGGUCGCAAGGCUAAAACUUAAAGGAAUUGGCGGGGGAGCACCACAGGGUGAAGCCUGCGGUUCAAUUGGGAUUCACGCCGGGAAUCACUAGUGCGGCCGCC
Molecule: ribosomal RNA, 950 nt
Filed under: uncultured archaeon
Lineage: Archaea
Description: partial 16S rRNA
Rfam family: Archaeal small subunit ribosomal RNA
Source: RNAcentral